AGAGUUUGAUCCUGGCUCAGAUUGAACGCUGGCGGCGUGCCUAACACAUGCAAGUCGAGCGGUAACAGGUGUAGCAAUACAUGCUGACGAGCGGCGAACGGGUGAGUAAUGCUUUGGAAUCUUCCCAGUAGUGGGGAAUAACCAGUCGAAAGAUUGGCUAAUACCGCAUACGUCUGUAAAGGGAAAGCGGGGGCUCGUAAGACCUCGCGCUAUUGGAUGAGCCAAAGUCGGAUUAGCUAGUUGGUGGGGUAAUGGCCUACCAAGGCGACAAUCCGUAGCUGGUCUGAGAGGACGACCAGCCACACCGGAACUGAGACACGGUCCGGACUCCUACGGGAGGCAGCAGUGGGGAAUAUUGGACAAUGGGGGAAACCCUGAUCCAGCGACGCCGCGUGUGUGAAGAAGGCCUGCGGGUUGUAAAGCACUUUUAGUGGGGACAAAAAGCUACGGAUUAAUACUCUGUGGUCUUGAUUUAACCCAAAGAAAAAGCACCGGCUAACUCUGUGCCAGCAGCCGCGGUAAUACAGAGGGUGCGAGCGUUAAUCGGAAUUACUGGGCGUAAAGCGCGCGUAGACGGUUUUGUAAGUCAGAUGUGAAAUCCCUGGGCUCAACCUGGGAACUGCAUUUGAAACUGCAUGGCUAGAGUAUCGAAGAGGGAAGUGGAAUUUCCGGUGUAGCGGUGAAAUGCGUAGAUAUCGGAAGGAACACCAGUGGCGAAAGCGACUUCCUGGUCGAAUACUGACGUUCAUGUGCGAAAGCGUGGGGAGCAAACAGGAUUAGAUACCCUAGUAGUCC
This 795-nucleotide ribosomal RNA is filed under the name uncultured bacterium. RNAcentral's name for it is "bacterial SSU rRNA". It matches the Rfam family "Bacterial small subunit ribosomal RNA", at positions 8 to 796 of the family's 1533-position model. The record is from RNAcentral.